UCCUUAGAUGUUCUGGGCCGCACGCGCGCUACACUGAUGCAUUCAACGAGUCUAAAACCUGCUCUGAUAGGGGUGGGUAAUCUUUUGAAUGUGCAUCGUGAUUGGGAUAGAUGAUUGCAAUUUUUCAUCUUCAACGAGGAAUGCCUAGUAAACGCAAGUCAUCAGCUUGCAUUGAUUACGUCCUUGCCCUUUGUACACACCGCCCGUCGCUCCUACCGAUUGAAUGAUCCGAUGAAUAUCAUGGAUUGAGGAUGCAAGCAGGUUCGCCUGUCUCCAUCUUCGAGAAGUGAAGUAAAUCUUAUCAUUUAGAGGAAGGAGAAGUCGUAACA
This 329-nucleotide ribosomal RNA is filed under the name uncultured eukaryote. RNAcentral's name for it is "partial 18S ribosomal RNA". It matches the Rfam family "Eukaryotic small subunit ribosomal RNA", at positions 1470 to 1796 of the family's 1831-position model. The record is from RNAcentral.